CCUACGGGUGGCAGCAGUGAGGAAUAUUGGUCAAUGGGCGCGAGCCUGAACCAGCCAAGUAGCGUUAAGGCUGACUGCCCUACGGGUUGUAAACUUCUUUUAUAAAGGAAUAAAGUGAGGCACGUGUGCCUUUUUGUAUGUACUUUAUGAAUAAGGAUCGGCUAACUCCGUGCCAGCAGCCUCGGUAAUACGGAGGCUCCGAGCGUUAUCCGGAUUUCUUGGGUUUAAAGGGAUAGUAGAUGGUUUGUUAAGUCAGUUGUGAAAGUUUGCGGCUCAACCGUAAAAUUGCAAUUGAUACUGGCAGUCUUGAGUACAGUUGAGGUAGGAGGAAUUCGUGGUGUAGCGGUGAAAUGCUUAGAUAUCACGAAGAACUCCGAUUGCGAAGGCAGCUUACUAAACUGCCACUGACAUUGAUGCUCGAAAGUGUGGGUAUCAAACAGGAUUAGAUACCCCAGUAGUC
This 460-nucleotide ribosomal RNA is filed under the name uncultured bacterium. Its description in RNAcentral is "partial 16S ribosomal RNA". It matches the Rfam family "Bacterial small subunit ribosomal RNA", at positions 338 to 795 of the family's 1533-position model. The record is from RNAcentral.